RNAcentral lists this ribosomal RNA (253 nucleotides) under uncultured bacterium. RNAcentral describes it as "partial 16S ribosomal RNA". It matches the Rfam family "Bacterial small subunit ribosomal RNA", at positions 524 to 776 of the family's 1533-position model. The record is from RNAcentral.
UACGUAGGUGGCAAGCGUUGUCCGGAUUUACUGGGCGUAAAGAGCGCGCAGGCGGUCGUUCAAGUCGCGUGUGAAAGCCCCCGGCUCAACUGGGGAGGGUCACGCGAUACUGAUCGACUCGAAGGCAGGAGAGGGAAGUGGAAUUCCCGGUGUAGUGGUGAAAUGCGUAGAUAUCGGGAGGAACACCAGUGGCGAAGGCGGGUAGCUGGGCCGACACUGACGCUGAGGCGCGAAAGCCAGGGGAGCGAACGGG